AUCCUGGCUCAGGAUGAACGCUGGCGGCGUGCCUAAUACAUGCAAGUCGAGCGAAUGGAUUAAGAGCUUGCUCUUAUGAAGUUAGCGGCGGACGGGUGAGUAACACGUGGGUAACCUGCCCAUAAGACUGGGAUAACUCCGGGAAACCGGGGCUAAUACCGGAUAAUAUUUUGAACCGCAUGGUUCGAAAUUGAAAGGCGGCUUCGGCUGUCACUUAUGGAUGGACCCGCGUCGCAUUAGCUAGUUGGUGAGGUAACGGCUCACCAAGGCAACGAUGCGUAGCCGACCUGAGAGGGUGAUCGGCCACACUGGGACUGAGACACGGCCCAGACUCCUACGGGAGGCAGCAGUAGGGAAUCUUCCGCAAUGGACGAAAGUCUGACGGAGCAACGCCGCGUGAGUGAUGAAGGCUUUCGGGUCGUAAAACUCUGUUGUUAGGGAAGAACAAGUGCUAGUUGAAUAAGCUGGCACCUGACGG
RNAcentral lists this ribosomal RNA (478 nucleotides) under Bacillus cereus. Its description in RNAcentral is "bacterial SSU rRNA". It matches the Rfam family "Bacterial small subunit ribosomal RNA", at positions 16 to 485 of the family's 1533-position model. Lineage: Bacteria; Bacillati; Bacillota; Bacilli; Caryophanales; Bacillaceae. The record is from RNAcentral.